This 87-nucleotide transfer RNA is filed under the name Acidobacteriota bacterium. RNAcentral describes it as "tRNA-Leu". It matches the Rfam family "tRNA". Rfam says of the family: Transfer RNA (tRNA) molecules are approximately 80 nucleotides in length. The record is from RNAcentral. Lineage: Bacteria; Pseudomonadati; Acidobacteriota. RNAcentral also lists the same sequence under 2 other names.
GCCGAAGUGGCGGAAUUGGUAGACGCGCUAGGUUCAGGACCUAGUUGGGGCAACCCAGUAGGAGUUCGAGUCUCCUCUUCGGCACCA